CGGGCGACCGGCGGACGGGUGCGUAACGCGUAUGUAACCUACCUUUGACAGGGGGAUAACAUCGAGAAAUUGGUACUAAUACCCCAUAACAUCACCGGAGGCAUCUUCGGUGGUUGAAAACUCAGGUGGUCAGAGAUGGACAUGCGUUGUAUUAGCUAGCUGGUGAGGUAACGGCUCACCAAGGCGACGAUACAUAGGGGGACUGAGAGGUCAACCCCCCACAUUGGUACUGAGACACGGACCAAACUCCUACGGAAGGCAGCAG
RNAcentral lists this ribosomal RNA (265 nucleotides) under uncultured bacterium. RNAcentral describes it as "partial 16S ribosomal RNA". It matches the Rfam family "Bacterial small subunit ribosomal RNA", at positions 88 to 354 of the family's 1533-position model. The record is from RNAcentral.